AAAAAAUAAAAAAAAUCUCAACUAUCAAUACUUUCUGUUCGGAUCUUCUUCUUCCCACCAAAAACUACAAGAAAAGGUUCGUAACUGUAUUAUGUCGGGACAAAGAGGAAGAGGAGACGAGCGUUGAGAAGGGGUUGAAGGGUGAUAAAAGAAAGAGUACAAGAAAGACCGGAACGGGUCUUGCAGAUAAAGAUGAUCAUGGUGGAUGCCUGAUUCUCCGGCGAUGUUUUUCAGGUGGGUAUCGG
RNAcentral lists this unclassified non-coding RNA (245 nucleotides) under Hevea brasiliensis (rubber tree). Lineage: Eukaryota; Viridiplantae; Streptophyta; Magnoliopsida; Malpighiales; Euphorbiaceae. The record is from RNAcentral.